UACGUAGGGGGCUAGCGUUGUCCGGAAUCAUUGGGCGUAAAGAGCGUGUAGGCGGCUUGAUAAGUCUGCUGUGAAAGUCCAGGGCUCAACCCUGGAAUGCCGGUGGAAACUGUCAAGCUAGAGUCCGGAAGAGGCGAGUGGAAUUCCUGGUGUAGCGGUGAAAUGCGCAGAUAUCAGGAGGAACACCAAUGGCGAAGGCAGCACUCUGGGACGUGACUGACGCUGAGACGCGAAAGCGUGGGGAGCAAACAGG
This 253-nucleotide ribosomal RNA is filed under the name uncultured bacterium. RNAcentral's name for it is "partial 16S ribosomal RNA". It matches the Rfam family "Bacterial small subunit ribosomal RNA", at positions 524 to 776 of the family's 1533-position model. The record is from RNAcentral.